GAUGAACGCUGGCGGCGUGCCUAAUACAUGCAAGUCGAGCGAACGGACGCGGAGCUUGCUUCUCUGAUGUUAGCGGCGGACGGGUGAGUAACAUGUGGAUAACCUACCUAUAAGACUGGGAUAACUUCGGGAAACCGGAGAUAAUACCGGAUAAUAUUUUGAACCGCAUGGUGCAAAAGAGAAAGACGGUCUUGCUGUCACUUAUAGAUGGUUCCGAGCUGCAUUAGCUAGUUGGUAAGGUAACGGCUUACCAAGGCAACGAUGCAUAGCCGACCUGAGAGGGUGAUCGGCCACACUGGAACUGAGACACGGUCCAGACUCCUACGGGAGGCAGCAGUAGGGAAUCUUCCGCAAUGGGCGAAAGCCUGACGGAGCAACGCCGCGUGAGUGAUGAAGAUCUUCGGAUCGUAAAACUCUGUUAUUAGGGAAGAACAUAUGUGUAAGUAACUGUGCACAUCUUGACGGUACCUAAUCAGAAAGCCACGGCUAACUACGUG
RNAcentral lists this ribosomal RNA (497 nucleotides) under uncultured bacterium. RNAcentral describes it as "partial 16S ribosomal RNA". It matches the Rfam family "Bacterial small subunit ribosomal RNA", at positions 28 to 507 of the family's 1533-position model. The record is from RNAcentral.